CGGGGUGGAGUAAUGCUUGGGAAUCUGGCUUAUGGAGGGGGAUAACUACGGGAAACUGUAGCUAAUACCGCGUAGUAUCGGAAGAUGAAAGUGCGGGACCGUAAGGCCGCAUGCCAUGAGAUGAGCCCAAGUGGGAUUAGGUAGUUGGUGGGGUAAAGGCCUACCAAGCCUGCGAUCUCUAGCUGGUCUGAGAGGAUGGCCAGCCACACUGGAACUGAGACACGGUCCAG
This 230-nucleotide ribosomal RNA is filed under the name uncultured bacterium. RNAcentral describes it as "partial 16S ribosomal RNA". It matches the Rfam family "Bacterial small subunit ribosomal RNA", at positions 104 to 334 of the family's 1533-position model. The record is from RNAcentral.